GACGAACGCUGGCGGUGUGCCUAAUACAUGCAAGUCGAGCGAAGUUUUUCUGGUGCUUGCGCCGGAAAAAACUUAGCGGCGAACGGGUGAGUAACACGUAAAGAACCUGCCUCAUAGACUGGGACAACUAUUGGAAACGAUAGCUAAUACCGGAUAACAGCAUUAACUGCAUGGUUGAUGUUUAAAAGUUGGUUUUGCUAACACUAUGAGAUGGCUUUGCGGUGCAUUAGCUAGUUGGUGGGGUAAAGGCCUACCAAGGCGACGAUGCAUAGCCGACCUGAGAGGGUGAUCGGCCACACUGGGACUGAGACACGGCCCAGACUCCUACGGGAGGCAGCAGUAGGGAAUCUUCAGCAAUGGACGGAAGUCUGACCGAGCAACGCCGCGUGAGUGAAGAAGGUUUUCGGAUCGUAAAGCUCUGUUGUAAGAGAAGAACGAGUGUGAGAGUGGAAAGUUCACACUGUGACGGUAUCUUACCAGAAAGGGACGGCUAACUACGUGCCAGCAGCCGCGGUAAUUACUAGGUCCCGAGCGUUGUCCGGAAUUAUUGGGCGUAAACCAAGCGCAGGCGGAUUAGAUAAAUCUGAAGUUAAAGGCUGCUGGCUUAACCAUAGUAGGGCUUUGGAAACUGUUUAACUUGAGUGCAAGAGGGGAGAGCGGAAUUCCAUGUGUACCGGUGAAAUGCGUAGAUAUAUGGAGGAACACCGGUGGCGAAAGCGGCUCUCUGGCUUGUAACUGACGCUGAGGCUCGAAAGCGUGCGGAGCAAACAGGAUUAGAUACCCUGGUAGUCCACGCCGUAAACGAUGAGUGCUAGGUGUUAGACCCUUUCCGGGGUUUAGUGCCGCUAGCUAACGCAUUAAGCACUCCGCCUGGGGAGUACGACCGCAAGGUUGAAACUCAAAGGAAUUGACGGGGGCCCGCACAAGCGGUGCAGCAUGUGGUUUAAUUCCAAGCAUCGCUAAGAUUCUUACCAGGUCUUGACCUCCCUCUGAGCGCUCUACAGAUAUAUCUUUCCUUCGGGACAUAGGUCACAGGUGCUGCAUGGCUGUCAUCAGCUCGUGUCCUGAGAUGUUGGGUUAAGUCCCUCUACGAGCGCAACCCCUAUUGCUAACUUGCAUCUUUCAGUUGGCCACUCUACCGAGACCGGCCGUAAUAAACCCGCACGAUGGUGCCCAUGACGUCAAAUGCUCCUGCCCCCUUAUGUACUGGGCUUAUUACGGGCUUUCUUGGCUGGUACAAAGAGCUCCCAACGUCGUGAACUGCAAUUUAAUCUCCUAAAGCCCAUCCUCAGUUUGGAAUUGUGGCUUCCACCCCGCCUACUUGAA
RNAcentral lists this ribosomal RNA (1326 nucleotides) under uncultured bacterium. RNAcentral describes it as "partial 16S ribosomal RNA". It matches the Rfam family "Bacterial small subunit ribosomal RNA", at positions 28 to 1324 of the family's 1533-position model. The record is from RNAcentral.